AUUUUAAUUCUGUUUUUACUAUAAAUAGUAAGUUUUAAUUUGAUUAUAACUCUUUAUCCAUUUGGCUUUAAAAGUUGUGCCUAAUGUGAAAAGUGCUUAGAAUAAUUAGGAGAACAGUGUGGUGAACCUAAAUAGGACACAUACUAUUUUUGGCUGAAAACCUUGCACACUAGUAGACAUAAGGACCGUCUACUUACUAUUUAUAGUAAGUUGCGAAUUCUAGGAGUUUUAAUUGUAGUUUAAUUCUGGAAUUUCUUUUAUUGCUUAGUAUCCCUAUUUAAAGGGUUGUGAACUCGUUUAUUGGAUUCAUUGAUCAAUCUUGAAUUUUAUAGAAUUUAUUUUCUAUUUUAUUGUUCUUUUCCUCAUGGAUUUGAGGAGUUUAAAAAAGUUCCUUGGAUUUGGAAUAGUUAUACCUUUGAGGAAGACGAUGCUCAACUUCACAUCCUUCCCUGCGUCACUACCACUAAGUCAUGAAUUGUGGAAGCUGCACGUUGAAUUCUAAUCUCGAAGGCUUUAGAACCUGAGCCCUCCUUCCACCAACAAAUCCAUCUCACCAUUAGGCAUUCUUGCCAAACAUAGCAUCAAGCCUUGUGUCACCCCAUUUGCACACGAGCCACAUCCACUAGUGCAGGGAGACAGUUGCAUUGCCUUGGCAUGUAAGCAUUGACACAUGUAUCAUUCUAUUAUAAGAUAAUUAACUGACAUUCACCUGCCCCUGUUUAGUAGUUUACUACAGUUGAACUAUUUCAAUUAUCUGAUCGGUUUGAUGCCGCUGGAUGAAUUAAUCUUUUGCGCUGCUUAUUGUUUUUGUAACUUAUUAUCCAGUUGUAAUUUUGGAAUGACAAUAAUCUACAAUCCAUGCCUACUUCUUUGACUGUUGAAGUAUUUUCAUACUAUAUUUCGCUGAUAAUAUGGUGCGGUGAAUUCUACGAAAAUAGAUCAAACCGCUAUGGAGGCACUAUUUCCAAAACGCACAGGGACUCAUUUUUUUUGUUGACAGUAAUGACAGAGACCGUGUAGUUGAGGCGAGGGAUGAACUCCAUAGGAUGCUGAAUGAGGAUGAUUAUGCGGCGCCUAAUAACGAUGAAUAUGAAGAAAGAAAGUAUAUUGUUUUCUUUAUAGAAACGUAAGUUAGAGUCUUUUUAUAUUGG
This is a long non-coding RNA of Magnolia sinica, 1151 nucleotides long. RefSeq lists it as uncharacterized. The record is from RefSeq and is a predicted model, not a curated record. The transcript is spliced from 3 exons. NCBI's taxonomy places the organism in Eukaryota, Viridiplantae, Streptophyta, Magnoliopsida, Magnoliales, Magnoliaceae.